This 4587-nucleotide long non-coding RNA is filed under the name Homo sapiens (human). Its description in RNAcentral is "PREDICTED lncRNA (TCONS_00161396)". Lineage: Eukaryota; Metazoa; Chordata; Mammalia; Primates; Hominidae. The record is from RNAcentral.
UCAGGGGUUAGGGGUUGUCCCUUGGUGACCUAAAUGAAAAAACAGGUCCAGAACAGAGUUCCUGAUGCUGGACACUCAUUCAGUCUUUGAAUCGUGGGAGGGGAGGCCUGGUACUAGGUAGACCUAACCUCUUUGAGGAACCACAGAGCCCAAGGCUGGAAACCUCCAGAAUCCUCCACCCCCUGAUCCUCCCUGGGGACCCCUGUGGCCUGUCUCACUGAGCACUCUUCCAUCUGUAGAUGUCUGGGCUGCUGUACAAGGGAGUCCCCUUUCAGGUGUGGUGCUAGACAUGGUCACUCCUGCUGGAUGUCUAGGUGGUAGAAACCAAGGACCUAGGGAAAUACCAGGUACAGCCUUUCCAUGCUCAUCCAGAGCAGGACAAACAGGCCAGGCGGUGUCAGGAGCCCAGGUCUCCAGCUGGAGGGAACGUCAACCCUUCGGUGGGAGCAGGGGCCCUUUGCACAUCCUAGGCACAGAUGGUAAUGUAGACACCGCAGGUAAGCUGGGCUUGGUACCUACCCCUCCCCGGAUUCAGAAAGAAACCAAACAAGGAGCUUUGUGCGGAAUGAAACCUCCUUUCCUCCCAGAAGCACUGCUGACUGUUUGGUGGUUGCCAUUUGUGGCAGUGAGCCUUUGUUUGUUCUGAGGUUGGGCUGGUUUCUCCUCUUGGCCCUGCCCUACAGAUCAUAAAGGAGAAGAGCAAGAGGUCCCCAGCAAACAUCCACAGAUGGCCUUGGAAAUAAGUCACCUUCCUCACCCUGCAGGAAUGCCAGUGAACUUAUUGCUGACAUCUUGGAGCUCAGUACCCUCAUAGUGUAACGGCGUCAGCAGAUCUGCCUGUGCUGGGACUUCCUGUACUACCCAUUCCUGAGGGGCGAUGCUUCUGCAGGGCCUGUGACUUGGUGCACAACUUCAGACACCAUCAUCUUGCAGCAGCACCGCACCCUCACUAGCCAGGGUGUUGAUGACUUCCUCAAGGCCAAGGCCACAUUCAAGGCUUCGGACUUCAUUGAUGCGCUUGUGCUGAGCAAGCAGGAUGAAAAUGGGAAGGAGUUGUCAGACGAGGACAUAUAAAUGGAGGCUGGCAUAUUCAUGAGUGCUGGUGGUGGUCCCGGUGUGGGACUACUGUGGGGAUAUGACAGCAGAGCCAGUGGCCUCUACUAGAUCCUGUACAACCUCACAAAACACCCAGACAUCGGGAGUGCUGCCAGCCUGUGAUGCAAGAGUCCUAAUCCUGAAGACAUUGAAUGACCUGUCAUUCUGCUGUUUUUACCAAAAAGGAUCAUGAGGAUCAGAGAGGAAAAGUCAUUUGCCCAAAGUCACACAGCUGAACAGUGGUGGAGUUCAACUUUGACCGUGGGCUGUCUGGCCCCAAGGUGUAUGCUUGCUUCUCUCCCAAGAGACAACUUUCUUAUCAGGCUCAAAUGAAUGAAAGGAGGAUGUUAAAGUUCCUAGAAGCUUUAAUUGAAUGAAAGUUCCUAGUAGAUCUGUACCUACUAAAAACCACACUUCUGAAGCUACGUGGCCACCAGAAGACACAGCUAGUCUGCCAUGUAAAAAAGGAAAGGUGGCGUGUGCCCUGAAGGUGCAGGGGUGAGAGGCAGGGAAAUGGAGACCCCAACAGCCAGCAGCAGUGGCCCUCAUCACAGCCCUCCAGGAGAUAUCAAAGGAGACAACGCCAUUAUUGACGAGAUCACUCCCAAGCGGAUUGGAGAUUGUCCCAAUACUUAGACCUAUAGCAAGGCCUUGGGAGAAAUGGUGGUGCAGCAGGAGAGCAGGAACCUAACCAUUGCCAUCCUAAGGCCCUGCAUUGUGCAGAGCAACGUGGCACCAGCUUUUCCUGGGUUGGGUUGAUAAUCUAAAUGGAUGUAGCUGACUCAUUAUUGCGGUAUGUAUAGGCUGGGAAAGGGUUUCUUCUGUCCAUAAAAGCUACUCCAAUGGCUGUGGGAGACUUAAUUCCAAUUCCAGGUGAUACAGCCGUCAGUCUCCCACUAGCUGUAGGAUGGUGUGCUGCAGUUCACAGACCUAAGUCAAUGUUAGUCUACCACUGUACGUCUGGUAACCUCAAUCCCUGCAACCGGAGCAAAAUGUGAUUCCAGGUCUUGGCAACCUCUGAAAUUCCAACUCCAUUUGCGAGAGCUUUGAGGAGGCCAUAUGCUGAUUUCACCACAAGCAACUUCACAACCCAGUACUGGAAUGCCAUCAGCCAGCAGGCCCCUGCCAUUAUCUGUGACUUCUAUCUGUGGCUCAUUGGAAGGAAACCCAGGUGAGAAGCUGAGUCAAUGGCCUUGAGAAUGUCACUGCAUAUGGGAGAUUGAGGCCCCAAAGUCUUUAGGGCUUCCUUCAGCCAAAGAUUAAAGGAGACAGCUGAAUCUGACCCAUAUAUACAGAUUGAACACACCUACUCUGAAAAUCCAAAAUCUGAAAUUCUCCAAAAUCCAAAAAGUUUUGAGUGCUGACAUGAUGCCACAAGUGGAAAAUUCCACACAUCUUACCUCAUGUGAUGGGUCACAGUCAAAACACAUUCAAAACUUUGUUUCAUGCAUAAAAUUAUUUAAAAUAUUGUAUAAGAUUACCUUCAGGUUAUGUGUAUGUGGCUAAGUGUGUAUGAAAUGUAAGUGAAUUUUGUGUUUAGACAUGGGUCCCAUUCCCAAGAUACCUCAUUGCAUUGAAGCAAAUAUUCCAAAAUCUGAAAACAGUUGAAACCCAACACACUUCUGACCCAAGCAUUUCAGAUAAAGGAUACUCAAUCUGUGUAAGUUUUGAACAAACAAAGCAGUCAUAGUGAGAAGCCACAGAAGCCUCCUACAUUAAAAAUACUCCAGCAUAAUAAAGGAAGGUAAAUGUUAAAGCGCCUGCUUGAUGAAUUCAGCAAGUGAUCAUUCACACAAAAAGAAAACCAACUGAGACGCUGUCACUAGGGUUUUUCAAAUAGGUAGAGAAUCUUAAAUAUCCAGUAAUGAUGACAACCUCACUUACUGGGAGCUUACUCGUGGGGCUAAGGAGGAUGCGUGAUGAUCCCAUUUUUAUUGUCACAGCUACCGAAGGAAGAUACCCUCAUCAACCCAAUUUUACAAAUGGAGAAAUAGAAGCUCAGGGAAGAAUCUGAAGUAGUCUCAAAGGAAGUGACAGGAAGGAUGUGGAGAAAGCUGAGUGUCAAAGUCAGUAUUCAAGACCGGAUUUACUGCUACUUAGAGAUGAAUGAAGAAAUCAGAGGGAACGCAGUGUGCUGAUGCUAAAGCGGCUGUCACCACCCAGCUGUGUGACAUAGGACAUCUUCUUUCUCUGUCUCACUUGACUAAUAUGUUGUGUCAGGGGAGACAUGAUUGUAAUUGCCUAAAGCAAUUCUUGUGAUCAAGAAUCAGAAGCAUGAACAGUAUUGCCCUCUGUGUUAGCCCCUUUAUAAGGGAGGAAGUCAUCUUCAGCAUGCUGAAUUGUCAUCUUUCUUAGCAGUGCAAAUGACUAAAACUUAGCCAAUGUAGAGUUUGUCCAAAUUUGGAGCUCAUAACUCAGUUCUUGAGCAAAGUGAAAAGAAAACAUUGUGAUUAUGGGGAAAAUAUUUGUACGGGACUUAUCAAAUAAAGAUAGGAAAAGAAGAAAACUCAAAUAUUAUAGGCAGAAAUGCUAAAGGUUUUAAAAUAUGUCAGGAUUGGAAGAAGGCAUGGAUAAAGAACAAAGUUCAGUUAGGAAAGAGAAACACAGAAGGAAGAGACACAAUAAAAGUCAUUAUGUAUUCUGUGAGAAGUCAGACAGUAAGAUUUGUGGGAAAUGGGUUGGUUUGUUGUAUGGUAUGUAUUUUAGCAAUAAUCUUUAUGGCAGAGAAAGCUAAAAUCCUUUAGCUUGCGUGAAUGAUCACUUGCUGAAUUCCUCAAGGUAGGCAUGAUGAAGGAGGGUUUAGAGGAGACACAGACACAAUGAACUGACCUAGAUAGAAAGCCUUAGUAUACUCAGCUAGGAAUAGUGAUUCUGAGGGCACACUGUGACAUGAUUAUGUCAUUACAUGUAUGGUAGUGAUGGGGAUGAUAGAAGGAAGAACUUAUGGCAUAUUUUCACCCCCACAAAAAUCAGUUAAAUAUUGGGACACUAACCAUCCAGGUCAAGAAAAGUCACAUGCCAUAGCCAUGGUAUUGCACAUCAUUCAUCUUGCAUUCUUUGAGAAUAAGAAGAUCAGUAAAUAGUUCAGAAGUGGGAAGCUUUGUCCAGGCCUGUGUGUGAACCCAAUGUUUUGUUUAGAAAUAGAACAAGUAAGUUCAUUGCUAUAGCAUAACACAAAAUUUGCAUAAGUGGUGGUCAGCAAAUCCUUGAAUGCUGCUUAAUGUGAGAGGUUGGUAAAAUCCUUUGUGCAACACUCUAACUCCCUGAAUGUUUUGCUGUGCUGGGACCUGUGCAUGCCAGACAAGGCCAAGCUGGCUGAAAGAGCAACCAGCCACCUCUGCAAUCUGCCACCUCCUGCUGGCAGGAUUUGUUUUUGCAUCCUGUGAAGAGCCAAGGAGGCACCAGGGCAUAAGUCUACUCACUUAUAUCUGUUUGUCUGGAACAUAACCCAUGUUUGUUUUUACAACAAAUAAAAUUGAUCUUGAAUAAAAA